Molecule: ribosomal RNA, 409 nt
Filed under: bacterium
Lineage: Bacteria
Description: partial 16S ribosomal RNA
Rfam family: Bacterial small subunit ribosomal RNA
Source: RNAcentral
UGGGGAAUAUUGCACAAUGGGCGAAAGCCUGAUGCAGCGACGCCGCGUGAGGGAUGACGGCCUUCGGGUUGUAAACCUCUUUCAGCAGGGACGAAGCGCAAGUGACGGUACCUGCAGAAGAAGCACCGGCUAACUACGUGCCAGCAGCCGCGGUAAUACGUAGGGUGCAAGCGUUGUCCGGAAUUACUGGGCGUAAAGAGUUCGUAGGCGGUUUGUCGCGUCGUUUGUGAAAACCAGCAGCUCAACUGCUGGCUUGCAGGCGAUACGGGCAGACUUGAGUACUGCAGGGGAGACUGGAAUUCCUGGUGUAGCGGUGGAAUGCGCAGAUAUCAGGAGGAACACCGGUGGCGGAGGCGGGUCUCUGAGCAGUAACUGAAGCUGAGGAACGAAAGCGUGGGUAGCGAACAGG